UGAAAUUUUAUGGAAUCCUAGAUUUCUCAUACCUAGGAAUAACAAUACAAGGGACAGAAUAGUUAGCAGUGUUCCUGUUGAAAGGUCCAAGUAUCUCCCUAGGCACAGAAAACACCCAAAUGAGCAAAGCAGACCUUGGUGGCCAGAGGGGAGCCCUCAGGUAGAGCUGCAGAUGCUGGCAGUUUGUGUUAGAAGGUUCCGGGGCUAAACAGAUGCCUAGAAUUAGCCACCAAAAGGUAAAUUGUAGACUCCACUCUUCAAGAAGCAGCAGAAGGAUUAGGAAUUCAAACAGUGCUAUUUUACGGUCAUAAGAACAGACAGUAUUUUUUUGGCGCAGCAAGAACUUCUUAGGCCAUAAAGCAUGACAGACCUCUUUUCCUUAUGCGCUGAAUUGAAGAAGUGCUGACUCUUUUGCUGAUGGAAGCUCUUCCACGAGUUCACGAAUGGAAAUAACAUCAAGAGUUUUUCAUCUUCUUAGUGUGCAAGAUGUCUGAGGAAUAGUCUUAGUGGAUUAUCCCAAACUUGACACAUUUUUUGCAAAAUGCUAUACAAAAAGAAGAUACAUGCGAUUAUGACAAGAUUCUCCACUUGGUGUGACCAGUCUCAUACAACCCAAGGCUGUGUGUCCAAAGGCAACUGUACUGAUCUUGACAAUAAUCAAAAGGUAGCCAGGUGCAUCGGGGAAAGCACUGACAUUGGAGU
Molecule: long non-coding RNA, 702 nt
Organism: Homo sapiens (human)
Lineage: Eukaryota; Metazoa; Chordata; Mammalia; Primates; Hominidae
Gene: ZRANB2-DT
Product: ZRANB2 divergent transcript
Source: Ensembl